UAAAGAGGUCUGCUUCUAAAGGGAGAGACAUAAAUACUUAUUUUCAUCAAAAACUUAUUACACAUAGAGCGGCAAUUGGAGUCAUCUUUGCUAUCACUGACAGUAACAAGACAGCUGCAAUUGCAGAAAGUUAUCCUGGCACACGGAGUGAAAAUCACGGCAGAAACCUGAAGCCACAUAUCAGAUUCCAGACAGUCAUCACCUUCACUGGAAAAGAAAUAUGCUAAGAUAUUUUUCUUUCAUCACUGUACUGCUUCUGGAUUAGUUUUUGGUGUUCAACAGCAAGCAAGACCUUGCUUUUAACAAAAACUGAA
This 314-nucleotide long non-coding RNA is filed under the name Gallus gallus (chicken). The record is from RNAcentral. Lineage: Eukaryota; Metazoa; Chordata; Aves; Galliformes; Phasianidae.